GCUGUCCAAAUGGCUGGGUUGGGUACAAUGGGGUCUGCUACUACUUCUCAAGGGAUUACAGCACCUGGGAUCAGGGCCAGGAACGGUGCUCCGAGCUCGAGGCCUCCCUGGCCAUUGCCAAGGAUGAGGAGGCCAUGGAUUUGCUCUUCCGCCUCCGCGGGAACCGCGAUUUCUGGCUCGGGCUGCGCAGACGGGGCGAGCGCCUGCACUGGGGGGACGGCAGCAGCUACAGCUCCCGGGUUCCCGUCUUUGACAAUUCCCAGUGUGUGUACCUGGCUGAUGAGAGAUUCAGGAGUGGGAA
Long non-coding RNA from Camarhynchus parvulus, 301 nucleotides. RefSeq lists it as uncharacterized. Lineage: Eukaryota; Metazoa; Chordata; Aves; Passeriformes; Thraupidae. The record is from RefSeq and is a predicted model, not a curated record. The transcript has 3 exons.